AUCCAGCUUAUGAGUCCCAAAUAGGACGAAACGCGCAUCCUGGAU
RNAcentral lists this non-coding RNA (45 nucleotides) under Schistosoma japonicum. The record is from RNAcentral. Lineage: Eukaryota; Metazoa; Platyhelminthes; Trematoda; Strigeidida; Schistosomatidae. RNAcentral also lists the same sequence under 1 other name.